This 386-nucleotide ribosomal RNA is filed under the name uncultured eukaryote. RNAcentral describes it as "partial 18S ribosomal RNA". It matches the Rfam family "Eukaryotic small subunit ribosomal RNA", at positions 592 to 976 of the family's 1831-position model. The record is from RNAcentral.
CAAUAGCGUAUACUAACGUUGUUGCAGUUAAAAAGCUCGUAGUUGGAUUUCUGAAGGUGGUUGGAUUGGUGUGGCCUCGCGUUGCCUCAACCAUACUAUUUUCAACAUAUGCGAUGAAUUGGUGUGGUUAAUUAAGUUUGAUCCGCCAUUAAAUCGCUCGUUUACUUUGAGAAAAUUAGAGUGUUCAAAGCAGGCAUAACGCCUUGAAUAUGUUAGCAUGGAAUAAUAGCAUAGGACUUUGGUUCUAUUUGUUGGUUGUUCGAGAACCGGAGUAAUGAUUGAUAGGGACGGUUGGGGGCAUCCGUAUUCUCAAGCGAGAGGUGAAAUUCUUGGACCUUGGGAAGACGAACAGCUGCGAAAGCGUUUGCCUAGGACGUUCUCUUUAA